Molecule: ribosomal RNA, 2224 nt
Filed under: Burkholderia sp. Ch1-1
Lineage: Bacteria; Pseudomonadati; Pseudomonadota; Betaproteobacteria; Burkholderiales; Burkholderiaceae
Description: bacterial LSU rRNA
Rfam family: Bacterial large subunit ribosomal RNA
Source: RNAcentral
AGUGCAUGUGGUGGAUGCCUUGGCGAUCACAGGCGAUGAAGGACGCGGUAGCCUGCGAAAAGCGGUGGGGAGCUGGCAAACGAGCUUUGAUCCACCGAUAUCCGAAUGGGGAAACCCGGCCCGUAUGGGUCAUCCGUAGCUGAAUACAUAGGCUACGUGAAGCGAACGCGGUGAACUGAAACAUCUAAGUAACCGCAGGAAAAGAAAUCAACCGAGAUUCCCAGAGUAGUGGCGAGCGAAAUGGGACCAGCCUGUACUCUUUAUCUUCAUUGUUAGUCGAAGGCUCUGGAAAGUGCCGCCAUAGCAGGUGAUAGCCCUGUAGACGAAAACAGCGAGGAAGAACUGGGUGUACGAGAAGUAGGGCGGGACACGUGAAAUCCUGUCUGAAGAUGGGGGGACCAUCCUCCAAGGCUAAAUACUCGUGAUCGACCGAUAGUGAACCAGUACCGUGAGGGAAAGGCGAAAAGAACCCCGGGAGGGGAGUGAAACAGAUCCUGAAACCGCAUGCAUACAAACAGUCGGAGCCUUCGCAAGGGGGUGACGGCGUACCUUUUGUAUAAUGGGUCAGCGACUUACAUUCAGUGGCAAGCUUAACCGAUUAGGGCAGGCGUAGCGAAAGCGAGUCCGAACAGGGCGAUUCAGUCGCUGGGUGUAGACCCGAAACCAGGUGAUCUAUCCAUGGCCAGGAUGAAGGUGCGGUAACACGUACUGGAGGUCCGAACCCACUAACGUUGAAAAGUUAGGGGAUGAGCUGUGGAUAGGGGUGAAAGGCUAAACAAACCUGGAAAUAGCUGGUUCUCUCCGAAAACUAUUUAGGUAGUGCCUCGUGUAUCACCUUCGGGGGUAGAGCACUGUCAUGGUUGUGGGGUCCAUUGCGGAUUACUACGCCAUAGCAAACUCCGAAUACCGAAGAGUGCAAUCACGGGAGACAGACAUCGGGUGCUAACGUCCGGUGUCAAGAGGGAAACAACCCAGACCGCCAGCUAAGGUCCCCAAAUAUUGCUAAGUGGGAAACGAAGUGGGAAGGCUAAAACAGUCAGGAGGUUGGCUUAGAAGCAGCCAUCCUUUAAAGAAAGCGUAAUAGCUCACUGAUCGAGUCGUCCUGCGCGGAAGAAUUGUAACGGGGCUAAGCAAUAUACCGAAGCUGCGGAUGCACAUUUAUGUGCAUGGUAGGAGAGCGUUCCGUAAGCCUGCGAAGGUGCAUUGAAAGUGUGCUGGAGGUAUCGGAAGUGCGAAUGCUGACAUGAGUAGCGAUAAAGGGGGUGAAAGGCCCCCUCGCCGUAAGCCCAAGGUUUCCUACGCAACGUUCAUCGGCGUAGGGUGAGUCGGCCCCUAAGGCGAGGCAGAAAUGCGUAGCUGAUGGGAAGCAGGUUAAUAUUCCUGCACCAUUGUUAAAUGCGAUGGGGGGACGGAUCGCGGAAGGUUGUCCGGGUGUUGGAAGUCCCGGUCCUUGCAUUGGAGAAGGCGCUUUGGCAAAUCCGGGCGCGGAAUUCAAGGGUGCGAGGCCAUUCACUUCGGUGAAGAAGCAAUCGGAAGUGGUUCCAAGAAAAGCCUCUAAGCUUCAGUUUAACAGGACCGUACCGCAAACCGACACAGGUGGGCGAGAUGAGUAUUCUAAGGCGCUUGAGAGAACUCGGGAGAAGGAACUCGGCAAAUUGGUACCGUAACUUCGGGAUAAGGUACGCCCCUGUAGCCUGACUGGCCUGCGCCAGAAGGGUGAAGGGGUUGCAAUAAACUGGUGGCUGCGACUGUUUAAUAAAAACACAGCACUCUGCAAACACGAAAGUGGACGUAUAGGGUGUGACGCCUGCCCGGUGCCGGAAGAUUAAAUGAUGGGGUGCAAGCUCUUGAUUGAAGUCCCGGUAAACGGCGGCCGUAACUAUAACGGUCCUAAGGUAGCGAAAUUCCUUGUCGGGUAAGUUCCGACCCGCACGAAUGGCGUAAUGAUUUGGGCACUGUCUCAACAACGAAUCCGGCGAAAUUGUAGUGCAAGUGAAGAUGCUUGCUACCCGCGAUUGGACGGAAAGACCCCGUAGAGCUUUACUGUAGUUUAGCAUUGAGUUUCGGUAUUGUCUGUACAGGAUAGGUGGGAGACUGGGAUACAGCGGCGUCAGCUGCUGUGGAGUCGUCCUUGGGAUACCACCCUGACAGUACUGGAAUUCUAACCGGAGGCCAUGAAGCUGGUCACGGGACAUUGCUAGAUGGGCAGUUUGACUGGGGCGGU